UAGUCCACACCGUAAACGAUGGACACUAGGUGUCGGGAGCUUUACCCUCUCGGUGCCGUAGUUAACGCAUUAAGUGUCUCGCCUGGGGAGUACGGUCGCAAGAUUAAAACUCAAAGAAAUUGACGGGGGCCCGCACAAGCGGUGGAUGAUGUGGUUUAAUUCGAUGCAACGCGAAGAACCUUACCUGGGCUUGACAUCCCGCGCUAUCCUAAGAAAUUAGGAGUCCCUUCGGGGCGCGGUGACAGGUGUUGCAUGGCUGUCGUCAGCUCGUGUCGUGAGAUGUUGGGUUAAGUCCCGCAACGAGCGCAACCCUUGCCAUUAGUUGCCAGCAUUAAGUUGGGCACUCUAGUGGGACCGCUUGCCGAUAAGGCAGAGGAAGGAGGGGAUGACGUCAAGUCCGCAUGGCCCUUACGCCCAGGGGCUACACACGUCCUACAAUGGCCGGGUACAAAGGGGUAGCUAAGCCGUAAGGUGGAGCUAAUCCC
This 485-nucleotide ribosomal RNA is filed under the name uncultured bacterium. RNAcentral describes it as "bacterial SSU rRNA". It matches the Rfam family "Bacterial small subunit ribosomal RNA", at positions 791 to 1275 of the family's 1533-position model. The record is from RNAcentral.